This 301-nucleotide ribosomal RNA is filed under the name uncultured bacterium. RNAcentral describes it as "partial 16S ribosomal RNA". It matches the Rfam family "Bacterial small subunit ribosomal RNA", at positions 509 to 807 of the family's 1533-position model. The record is from RNAcentral.
CAGUAGCCGCGGUAAUACGAAGGGUGCAAGCGUUAAUCGGAAUUACUGGGCGUAAAGCGUGCGUAGGCGGUUUGUUAAGUCUGCUGUGAAAUCCCCGGGCUCAACCUGGGAAUGGCAGUGGAUACUGGCAAGCUAGAGUGUGUCAGAGGAUGGUGGAAUUCCCGGUGUAGCGGUGAAAUGCGUAGAGAUCGGGAGGAACAUCAGUGGCGAAGGCGGCCAUCUGGCCUAAUACUGACGCUGAGGUACGAAAGCAUGGGGAGCAAACAGGAUUAGAUACCCCAGUAGUCCCUGUCUCUUAUAC